Non-coding RNA from Labrus bergylta (ballan wrasse), 954 nucleotides. The record is from RefSeq and is a predicted model, not a curated record. Lineage: Eukaryota; Metazoa; Chordata; Actinopteri; Labriformes; Labridae.
AAUGUGAAAGUUGGAGAAAUGUACAGAUUCUGUGGUAUGUGUUCAUUACUCUAUAUGCUUCUAUAGAAGUACAAUGUGACAGAGCAAAGCAGAGAGAUGAUCACCAAUGACCAAAGUGACUACAACAACAGCAAAGACAGGAAAUGUGGAAAGCCUAAAUAAGUGGGUGGGCAACAGGAGGUACCUGAGAAAUUAGUUUAAAAAGACAUUUAAUGCAGAUAUGUUGAGAUAAGAAGAACAAAUAUGUUUAAAUAUCUGAAUACUUUUCACAUUGUGAAUUAAGUCAAAGGUUUCCAUGCAGUGGCUCAUUUUUCUUCUGCUAAUUAAAACGUGCAGUAGAUCUGAUCAAACUCGUAGCUCUCUCCUUCAUCACUCGUAUGACUAUCAUUACAAGCUCCAAUGUUUUGUCAGUGGUUAUAAUGCCACUGAUGGGACUCCAAAGCCCCCUGCAGUAACAGACGGGUGAUGUCACUCUGGCUUAGUCCAUUCAUUCUUACAGGCUGUGGUUGCACACCAGAGAAAAAUUAGAUACAUUGAAAACCAACAUUUUAAACAUCUAAUCCACAUUCUAUAUUUGACCUAGCCUCCAGUGACUCCGGUGACUCCAUCGGUCCACCCCAUGUUGAGCCUGGUGUAUCUUGGAUGAUGGUGUUCAGUCCAGCCAUCACGGUCCUCUCCACCUUCCUGUGCCUGACUUUUGUUUAUCUCUGCAGUCAGAAUGCAGAUGAAAAAGAUCAAAUGACUGAGAGAAGACCUGACAUGGGAGAGGAAAGUACAGUGAAUCAGGAUGAAGACGCAUGUUUCACCAGAGUUGUGUUCUUGUGUGUCGAUGGACGGAACAAAUAGAUUGGCUUUGUCUGAGCGGACAUCACACAAGCUCCACUUCAAACUUCUCACAAAGUCUUUAGAGUCCGAGUUUAAAGACCUGUUAUAUUUGUACACAGUGAUGAUGCG